UACGUAGGGUGCAAGCGUUGUCCGGAAUUAUUGGGCGUAAAGAGCUCGUAGGCGGUCUGUCACGUCGGCUGUGAAAUCCCGAGGCUCAACCUCGGGUCUGCAGUCGAUACGGGCAAAAUAGAGUAUUGCAGGGGAGACUGGAAUUCCUGGUGUAGCGGUGAAAUGCGCAGAUAUCAGGAGGAACACCGGUGGCGAAGGCGGGUCUCUGGGCAAUAACUGACGCUGAGGAGCGAAAGCGUGGGGAGCGAACAGG
RNAcentral lists this ribosomal RNA (253 nucleotides) under uncultured bacterium. RNAcentral's name for it is "partial 16S ribosomal RNA". It matches the Rfam family "Bacterial small subunit ribosomal RNA", at positions 524 to 776 of the family's 1533-position model. The record is from RNAcentral.